CACUAUGCUACCCAAAGACAUGAGAAAAACUACACCACAACACAACGUCGGUUAAUGCAAUGUUUGACGGCUUUAUAGACGUCGUACGUGUCACUGAACCAACGUCUAUAGUACCCUUAGACGUCUGUCAGUGCAAUGUCUGAUGUCUUUAUAGACGUCGAGCUUUGCACUAAACCGACGUCUAUAGCGACGUCGCACUUGCAGAAAUCCGAC
RNAcentral lists this long non-coding RNA (213 nucleotides) under Vigna radiata. RNAcentral describes it as "long non-coding RNA (VRAD_LNC016807)". The record is from RNAcentral. Lineage: Eukaryota; Viridiplantae; Streptophyta; Magnoliopsida; Fabales; Fabaceae.